Long non-coding RNA from Etheostoma cragini (Arkansas darter), 255 nucleotides. RefSeq lists it as uncharacterized. The transcript is spliced from 3 exons. Lineage: Eukaryota; Metazoa; Chordata; Actinopteri; Perciformes; Percidae. The record is from RefSeq and is a predicted model, not a curated record.
GAUGUAGUUUAAUGUAGUAUGCAGUAGUAUAUGGAACAGUCUCCCCACUUCACUCACUGAGCUUUCUAAAGAACAUUUUAAACCGAGAGUCAAAUUGUUGCUCCUAAGUUCUCUGAAUUUUCCAUUUGGGUUUAUGCUCUUAAUCUAUUUUUAAGUUGUUUCAUACAAAUUAAAUGUGUUUUGGUUUGUUUGAUUUUGUUUUGUUUUUUUGUUAGCUUUUUUGUUUUUAUUGUUUGUUUGGUUUAGUUUAGUUUU